GGGUUGUGAGGUUAAGCGACUAAGCGUACACGGUGGAUGCCCUGGCAGUCAGAGGCGAUGAAGGACGUGCUAAUCUGCGAUAAGCGUCGGUGAGGUGAUAUGAACCGUUAUAACCGGCGAUUUCCGAAUGGGGAAACCCAGUGUGUUUCGACACACUAUCAUUAACUGAAUCCAUAGGUUAAUGAGGCGAACCGGGGGAACUGAAACAUCUAAGUACCCCGAGGAAAAGAAAUCAACCGAGAUUCCCCCAGUAGCGGCGAGCGAACGGGGAGGAGCCCAGAGCCUGAAUCAGUGUGUGUGUUAGUGGAAGCGUCUGGAAAGGCGCGCGAUACAGGGUGACAGCCCCGUACACAAAAAUGCACAUAUUGUGAGCUCGAUGAGUAGGGCGGGACACGUGGUAUCCUGUCUGAAUAUGGGGGGACCAUCCUCCAAGGCUAAAUACUCCUGACUGACCGAUAGUGAACCAGUACCGUGAGGGAAAGGCGAAAAGAACCCCGGCGAGGGGAGUGAAAAAGAACCUGAAACCGUGUACGUACAAGCAGUGGGAGCCUCUUAAUGGGGUGACUGCGUACCUUUUGUAUAAUGGGUCAGCGACUUAUAUUCUGUAGCAAGGUUAACCGAAUAGGGGAGCCGAAGGGAAACCGAGUCUUAACUGGGCGUUAAGUUGCAGGGUAUAGACCCGAAACCCGGUGAUCUAGCCAUGGGCAGGUUGAAGGUUGGGUAACACUAACUGGAGGACCGAACCGACUAAUGUUGAAAAAUUAGCGGAUGACUUGUGGCUGGGGGUGAAAGGCCAAUCAAACCGGGAGAUAGCUGGUUCUCCCCGAAAGCUAUUUAGGUAGCGCCUCGUGAAUUCAUCUCCGGGGGUAGAGCACUGUUUCGGCAAGGGGGUCAUCCCGACUUACCAACCCGAUGCAAACUGCGAAUACCGGAGAAUGUUAUCACGGGAGACACACGGCGGGUGCUAACGUCCGUCGUGAAGAGGGAAACAACCCAGACCGCAAGCUAAGGUCCCAAAGUCAUGGUUAAGUGGGAAACGAUGUGGGAAGGCCCAGACAGCCAGGAUGUUGGCUUAGAAGCAGCCAUCAUUUAAAGAAAGCGUAAUAGCUCACUGGUCGAGUCGGCCUGCGCGGAAGAUGUAACGGGGCUAAACCAUGCACCGAAGCUGCGGCAGCGACACUAUGUGUUGUUGGGUAGGGGAGCGUUCUGUAAGCCUGUGAAGGUGGCCUGUGAGGGUUGCUGGAGGUAUCAGAAGUGCGAAUGCUGACAUAAGUAACGAUAAAGCGGGUGAAAAGCCCGCUCGCCGGAAGACCAAGGGUUCCUGUCCAACGUUAAUCGGGGCAGGGUGAGUCGACCCCUAAGGCGAGGCCGAAAGGCGUAGUCGAUGGGAAACAGGUUAAUAUUCCUGUACUUGGUGUUACUGCGAAGGGGGGACGGAGAAGGCUAUGUUGGCCGGGCGACGGUUGUCCCGGUUUAAGCGUGUAGGCUGGUUUUCCAGGCAAAUCCGGAAAAUCAAGGCUGAGGCGUGAUGACGAGGCACUACGGUGCUGAAGCGACAAAUGCCCUGCUUCCAGGAAAAGCCUCUAAGCAUCAGGUAACAUCAAAUCGUACCCCAAACCGACACAGGUGGUCAGGUAGAGAAUACCAAGGCGCUUGAGAGAACUCGGGUGAAGGAACUAGGCAAAAUGGUGCCGUAACUUCGGGAGAAGGCACGCUGAUAUGUAGGUGAAGCGACUUGCUCGUGGAGCUGAAAUCAGUCGAAGAUACCAGCUGGCUGCAACUGUUUAUUAAAAACACAGCACUGUGCAAACACGAAAGUGGACGUAUACGGUGUGACGCCUGCCCGGUGCCGGAAGGUUAAUUGAUGGGGUUAGCGGUAACGCGAAGCUCUUGAUCGAAGCCCCGGUAAACGGCGGCCGUAACUAUAACGGUCCUAAGGUAGCGAAAUUCCUUGUCGGGUAAGUUCCGACCUGCACGAAUGGCGUAAUGAUGGCCAGGCUGUCUCCACCCGAGACUCAGUGAAAUUGAACUCGCUGUGAAGAUGCAGUGUACCCGCGGCAAGACGGAAAGACCCCGUGAACCUUUACUAUAGCUUGACACUGAACAUUGAGCCUUGAUGUGUAGGAUAGGUGGGAGGCUUUGAAGUGUGGACGCCAGUCUGCAUGGAGCCGACCUUGAAAUACCACCCUUUAAUGUUUGAUGUUCUAACGUGGGCCCCUUACCGGGGUUGCGGACAGUGUCUGGUGGGUAGUUUGACUGGGGCGGUCUCCUCCUAAAGAGUAACGGAGGAGCACGAAGGUUGGCUAAUCCUGGUCGGACAUCAGGAGGUUAGUGCAAUGGCAUAAGCCAGCUUGACUGCGAGCGUGACGGCGCGAGCAGGUGCGAAAGCAGGUCAUAGUGAUCCGGUGGUUCUGAAUGGAAGGGCCAUCGCUCAACGGAUAAAAGGUACUCCGGGGAUAACAGGCUGAUACCGCCCAAGAGUUCAUAUCGACGGCGGUGUUUGGCACCUCGAUGUCGGCUCAUCACAUCCUGGGGCUGAAGUAGGUCCCAAGGGUAUGGCUGUUCGCCAUUUAAAGUGGUACGCGAGCUGGGUUUAGAACGUCGUGAGACAGUUCGGUCCCUAUCUGCCGUGGGCGCUGGAGAACUGAGGGGGGCUGCUCCUAGUACGAGAGGACCGGAGUGGACGCAUCACUGGUGUUCGGGUUGUCAUGCCAAUGGCACUGCCCGGUAGCUAAAUGCGGAAGAGAUAAGUGCUGAAAGCAUCUAAGCACGAAACUUGCCCCGAGAUGAGUUCUCCCUGACUCCUUGAGAGUCCUGAAGGAACGUUGAAGACGACGACGUUGAUAGGCCGGGUGUGUAAGCGCAGCGAUGCGUUGAGCUAACCGGUACUAAUGAACCGUGAGGCUUAACCUUACAACGCCGAAG
RNAcentral lists this ribosomal RNA (2925 nucleotides) under Escherichia coli. Its description in RNAcentral is "23S ribosomal RNA". It matches the Rfam family "Bacterial large subunit ribosomal RNA". Lineage: Bacteria; Pseudomonadati; Pseudomonadota; Gammaproteobacteria; Enterobacterales; Enterobacteriaceae. The record is from RNAcentral.